Molecule: ribosomal RNA, 256 nt
Filed under: uncultured bacterium
Lineage: Bacteria
Description: partial 16S ribosomal RNA
Rfam family: Bacterial small subunit ribosomal RNA
Source: RNAcentral
UACGGAGGGUGCAAGCGUUAUCCGGAUUCACUGGGUUUAAAGGGUGCGUAGGUGGGCUAGUAAGUCCGUGGUGAAAUCUCUGAGCUUAACUCGGAAACUGCCGUGGAUACUAUUAGUCUUGAAUCUCGUGGAGGUAAGCGGAAUAUGUCAUGUAGCGGUGAAAUGCUUAGAUAUGACAUAGAACACCGAUAGCGAAGGCAGCUUGCUACACGAGUAUUGACACUGAGGCACGAAAGCGUGGGGAUCGAAACCAAGG